UCCCGCCGGACCUGACUGCUAUCGGAUUGAUACUAAGCCAUGCGAGUCAUUGUAGCAAUACAAGGCAUACGGCUCAGUAACGCGUAGUCAACCUAACCUAUGGACGGGAAUAACCUCGGGAAACUGAGAAUAAUGCCCGAUAGAACAUUAUGCCUGGAAUGGUUUAUGUUCCAAAUGAUUUAUCGCCGUAGGAUGGGACUGCGGCCUAUCAGUUUGUUGGUGAGGUAAUGGCCCACCAAGACUAUUACAGGUACGGGCUCUGAGAGGAGUAGCCCGGAGAUGGGUACUGAGACACGGACCCAGGCCCUAUGGGGCGCAGCAGGCGAGAAAACUUUGCAAUGUGCGAAAGCACGACAAGGUUAAUCCGAGUGGUUUCUGCUAAAGAAACCUUUUGUCAGUCCUAGAAACACUGAUGAAUAAGGGGUGGGCAAGUUCUGGUGU
Molecule: ribosomal RNA, 441 nt
Filed under: uncultured archaeon
Lineage: Archaea
Description: bacterial SSU rRNA
Rfam family: Archaeal small subunit ribosomal RNA
Source: RNAcentral